AGAGUUUGAUCCUGGCUCAGAUUGAACGCUGGCGGAAUGCUUUACACAUGCAAGUCGAACGGCAGCACGGGAGCUUGCUCCUGGUGGCGAGUGGCGAACGGGUGAGUAAUGCGUCGGAACGUACCGAGUAAUGGGGGAUAACGCAGCGAAAGCUGUGCUAAUACCGCAUACGCCCUGAGGGGGAAAGUGGGGGACCGCAAGGCCUCACGUUAUUCGAGCGGCCGACGUCUGAUUAGCUAGUUGGUGGGGUAAUGGCCCACCAAGGCGACGAUCAGUAGCGGGUCUGAGAGGAUGAUCCGCCACACUGGAACUGAGACACGGUCCAGACUCCUACGGGAGGCAGCAGUGGGGAAUUUUGGACAAUGGGGGCAACCCUGAUCCAGCCAUUCCGCGUGAGUGAAGAAGGCCUUCGGGUUGUAAAGCUCUUUCAGCUGGAAAGAAACGGUACGCACUAACAUUGCGUGCUAAUGACGGUACCAGCAGAAGAAGCACCGGCUAACUACGUGCCAGCAGCCGCGGUAAUACGUAGGGUGCGAGCGUUAAUCGGAAUUACUGGGCGUAAAGCGUGCGCAGGCGGAUUGUUAAGCAAGAUGUGAAAUCCCCGGGCUUAACCU
RNAcentral lists this ribosomal RNA (614 nucleotides) under uncultured bacterium. RNAcentral describes it as "bacterial SSU rRNA". It matches the Rfam family "Bacterial small subunit ribosomal RNA", at positions 8 to 615 of the family's 1533-position model. The record is from RNAcentral.